GGCGUGCUUAACACAUGCAAGUCGAACGGAAAGGCCCUGCUUUUGUGGGGUGCUCGAGUGGCGAACGGGUGAGUAACACGUGAGUAACCUGCCCUUGACUUUGGGAUAACUUCAGGAAACUGGGGCUAAUACCGGAUAGGAGCUCCUGCUGCAUGGUGGGGGUUGGAAAGUUUCGGCGGUUGGGGAUGGACUCGCGGCUUAUCAGCUUGUUGGUGGGGUAGUGGCUUACCAAGGCUUUGACGGGUAGCCGGCCUGAGAGGGUGACCGGCCACAUUGGGACUGAGAUACGGCCCAGACUCCUACGGGAGGCAGCAGUGGGGAAUAUUGCACAAUGGGCGGAAGCCUGAUGCAGCAACGCCGCGUGCGGGAUGACGGCCUUCGGGUUGUAAACCGCUUUCGCCUGUGACGAAGCGUGAGUGACGGUAAUGGGUAAAGAAGCACCGGCUAACUACGUGCCAGCAGCCGCGGUGAUACGUAGGGCGCGAGCGUUGUCCGGAUUUAUUGGGCGUAAAGGGCUCGUAGGUGGUUGAUCGCGUCGGAAGUGUAAUCUUGGGGCUUAACCCUGAGCGUGCUUUCGAUACGGGUUGACUUGAGGAAGGUAGGGGAGAAUGGAAUUCCUGGUGGAGCGGUGGAAUGCGCAGAUAUCAGGAGGAACACCAGUGGCGAAGGCGGUUCUCUGGGCCUUUCCUGACGCUGAGGAGCGAAAGCGUGGGGAGCGAACAGGCUUAGAUACCCUGGUAGUCCACGCUGUAAACGGUGGGUACUAGGUGUGGGGUCCAUUCCACGGGUUCCGUGCCGUAGCUAACGCUUUAAGUACCCCGCCUGGGGAGUACGGCCGCAAGGCUAAAACUCAAAGGAAUUGACGGGGCCCCGCACAAGCGGCGGAGCAUGCGGAUUAAUUCGAUGCAACGCGUAGAACCUUACCUGGGUUUGACAUGGAUCGGGAGUGCUCAGAGAUGGGUGUGCCUCUUUUGGGGUCGGUUCACAGGUGGUGCAUGGCUGUCGUCAGCUCGUGUCGUGAGAUGUUGGGUUAAGUCCCGCAACGAGCGCAACCCUUGUUCACUGUUGCCAGCACGUUAUGGUGGGGACUCAGUGGAGACCGCCGGGGUCAACUCGGAGGAAGGUGGGGAUGACGUCAAGUCAUCAUGCCCCUUAUGUCCAGGGCUUCACGCAUGCUACAAUGGCUGGUACAGAGAGUGGCGAGCCUGUGAGGGUGAGCGAAUCUCGGAAAGCCGGUCUCAGUUCGGAUUGGGGUCUGCAACUCGACCUCAUGAAGUCGGAGUCGCUAGUAAUCGCAGAUCAGCAACGCUGCGGUGAAUACGUUCCCGGGGCUUGUACACACCGCCCGUCAAGUCAUGAAAGUUGGUAACACCCGAAGCCGGUGGCCUAACAGUUGUGGGGGAGCCGUCGAAGGUGGGACUGGUG
RNAcentral lists this ribosomal RNA (1425 nucleotides) under uncultured organism. Its description in RNAcentral is "16S ribosomal RNA". It matches the Rfam family "Bacterial small subunit ribosomal RNA". The record is from RNAcentral.